GACGAACGCUGGCGGCGUGCCUAAUACAUGCAAGUCGAGCGAAGCGGCGGACGGGUGAGUAACACGUAAGGAACCUACCGAUAAGCGGGGGACAACAUCCGGAAACGGGUGCUAAUACCGCCUACUUAUCGAUGGCCUGGCGGUGGAUUAGCUCGUGGGUGGGGUAACGGCCUACCAAGGCAAUGACCCAUAGCCGACCUGAGAGGGUAAGCAGCCAAAAUGGAACUGAGACACGGCCCAAACUCCUACGUGAGGCAGCAGUAGGGAAGCUUGCGCAAUGGGCGCAAGCCUGACGGAGCAACGCCGCGUGAGUGAAGAAGGUUUUCGGAUCGUAAAGCUCUGUUGUAGGAGAAGCGGUAUCUGACCAGAAAGCAACGGCUAACUACGUGCCAGCAGCCGCGGUAAUUC
This 408-nucleotide ribosomal RNA is filed under the name uncultured bacterium. RNAcentral describes it as "partial 16S ribosomal RNA". It matches the Rfam family "Bacterial small subunit ribosomal RNA", at positions 28 to 526 of the family's 1533-position model. The record is from RNAcentral.